Non-coding RNA from Polyrhizophydium stewartii, 82 nucleotides. NCBI's taxonomy places the organism in Eukaryota, Fungi, Chytridiomycota, Chytridiomycetes, Rhizophydiales. The record is from the annotation of a GenBank genome assembly.
GGUUGUAUGGCCGAGUGGUCCAAGGCGCCGGAUUCAAGUCCCGGUCUCGAAAGAGGCACGAGUUCGAACCUCGUUGCAACCA